This 444-nucleotide ribosomal RNA is filed under the name uncultured bacterium. Its description in RNAcentral is "partial 16S ribosomal RNA". It matches the Rfam family "Bacterial small subunit ribosomal RNA", at positions 354 to 796 of the family's 1533-position model. The record is from RNAcentral.
GUAGGGAAUAUUGGGCAAUGGUCGGAAGACUGACCCAGCCAUGCCGCGUGCAGGAAGACGGCCCUCUGGGUUGUAAACUGCUUUUAUCUGGGAAGAAAAAGGCCAUGCGUGGCAAAUUGCCGGUACCAGAUGAAUAAGCACCGGCUAACUCCGUGCCAGCAGCCGCGGUAAUACGGAGGGUGCGAGCGUUGUCCGGAUUUAUUGGGUUUAAAGGGUGCGUAGGCGGCUGAUUAAGUCAGCGGUGAAAGACUUCGGCUUAACCGGAGCAGUGCCGUUGAUAGUGGUUGGCUUGAGUGUCGGAGGGGUACAUGGAAUUGAUGGUGUAGCGGUGAAAUGCAUAGAUACCAUCAGGAACACCGAUAGCGAAGGCAUUGUACUGGCCGACAACUGACGCUGAUGCACGAAAGUGUGGGGAUCGAACAGGAUUAGAAACCCCGGUAGUCC